CUCUCUACCUCUCCCUCCUCCUCCUCCUCCUCCUCCUCCUCCUACCACUAAACAAAGAAACUUCGUAACGGGCAAAAUAAAUAAACAACUAAAACAAAAUAAAAUCCCAGCUGCACAGAGUCUUCUUUGUGAAAAUAGUUUUCAAUUUUUCAUAAUCUUUUCCUUUAUUCGUCAUCACCAAUUCCCUUCCUCUUUCGUUUUUUUAACAUUCUUUAAUUUGUUUCCUUAGAUAUUUCAUCAUAUUUCUGUUGCAUGUAAUCUUCUUCCAUUUUAUCUUGGCCUUCUAAUGUUGUUAAGAUUGAAGGCAUUGUUUUCUUUUCUGGGUUAUCUCCAAAGUUGAUGGAUAUGCCAAUGCUUUGAAGGAUAAAGAAGGAUAUCUGUAUUUUGGGUGGCAUUUUGUUCUUUAACAGAAAGAAGAAGAUCAUGUGUUUGUGUUUGAUUGGUUUUGCAUUUUAUGUGAUAAUUUAAACGGCAUUAUCGCAUUCCAUUGGAGCAUGAGAAGGGGAUUAUGCGAAUGGGAUGGUGAUUUGAGAGGCAAUGGAAUUGAGAAAAUUUGUCAAUGCAUUUGUGUUGGUGAUAAUUCUGCUUUGCUCGUUUGCUAUUGGGAGUACACAGGGCGUGAGGAGGCAAGAGAAAAUGCUUUUUGGCAAUGGCUUUUCCGAGACAAAUGAAGAAAUUGCAGAGCUCGCAUGCAUCCAUUGUAGGAAAGCAUUGAUUGACAGGAAGGGUUGUUUUGAAGGUUUCGAUUUCUAUUUACCUCAAGAAGCAACAACAAAUUCAAAAUCAACAUACAUAUGUGAAGCUAUCUGUAUUUUGCCAUCCUUUCUGAAACAGGAAUUUUUGGAUUGCUUGUGGAAAAAUAAAUUAAUAUUUGUUGUUUCUGCCCAAGGGGAUAGCCCCACAUCUUGGGUCACGAAGUAUUCUGGGUUACAAAGUGAUGGAAGAAGAUUUCUAGCUGGUAAGUCUCAUGGGCAGAUUGCACAAGGGCAUGCUCCAUAUUUGGUUCCAGAACUUGCAUCAACAUCCCCAUUUUACAUUCCAGCUCCUUCUAAUUCAGAACCUACCCAUUCUCCAUCCUCAAAUCCACUGCCUCAUCCAUUAUUUCGAAAGAGGUUACUGCAAAAACGAGAAAUGAAUAAUUCAACUCGCCAUUCUCCACGACGUGCAACUCGUGAACAUUCUCCACCAGGAUCACAUGCUCGUUCGCAUAAGUCCCCACAAGCUUCUAAUGACAAGACGAAAAUAAUUUUCAUAGCUGUUGCAGCAACUGCAGCAACAACUUUUUGUUUUUUUGCUGCACUUUUCUGUUGCUUCUUAUAUUGUAUGCAGCGUAGAAAUAACAAAGUUGGACCUAGAAUUGGACAAAGGGAUGACAGCCCUCUCCUCCACUUAAGUGAUCUCUCUCCUUGUUCUUCUCCACAUUCAUCUGGUUCUAAUUCAUAUUUCAAAGAGCACAGCCCAAAUAGCAAAAUGACUUCUCCUUUGAGGAGCAAUCUGUCUAUGAAGAAUGGAAAUUAUGAUCCUUGGCUAGUUGAAAUAACAUCACCAACAUUCAGUGCAGAAGCAUUUCCUCCUUUAAAACCUCCCCCUGGGGGACUAGUUCCUCCACCUGGGAGACUAGUUCCUCCACCUGAGAGACCAGUUCCUCCAGCUCCUGGACCAUCACCACCUGUUCCUCCAACUCCUGGACCAUCACCACCUGUUCCUCCACCUCCUGGACCAUCACCUCCUCCUGGUCUUUGUCCCCCACCACCUCCCCCAAAAGUUGCUCGUGGUCCACCUGCUCCUCCACCAAAGGCAAACUUAAAGCCUUCACCUCUUGGACCACAUUGUAGGAAUGAUAAUGGUUUUAGUUCAUCUGGAUCUUCAAAGGCCAAGUUAAAGCCAUUCUUUUGGGAUAAAGUUGUGGCCAGCCCUGGUCAAUCAGUGGUCUGGCAUGAGAUCAGUUCUGGAUCAUUCCAGUUCGAUGAGGAGAUGAUAGAAUCCUUGUUUGGUUAUAAUGCUGUAGACAAGAGCAAAAGUGAUAGCCAAAAAAAUUCAUCUGAACCUUCAAUCCAGUAUAUACAGAUUAUUGAUCCUCGGAAAGCACAAAAUUUGUCAAUUCUUCUAAGAGCUUUGGAUGUAUCUACAGAAGAAGUCGUCAAUGCCUUGCAGAAUGGUACUGAACUUCCAGCAGAGCUCCUUCAAACAUUACUGAGGAUGGCACCGACAUCAGAUGAAGAAUUGAAGCUUAGAUUAUUCACGGGUGAUAUUUCUCAACUGGGGCCUGCGGAGCAUUUCCUCAAAAUUUUGGUUGAUAUCCCCUUUGCUUUUAAACGAAUGGAAUCACUAGUGUUCAUGAGUUCUUUACAGGAAGAAAUAUCAAUCCUCAAGGAGUCCUUUGCAGCUCUUGAGGUAGCUAGUGACAAGCUUAGAAACAGCAGGCUGUUCCUAAAACUAUUGGAAGCAGUUCUCAAAACUGGUAACCGCAUGAAUGAUGGUACAUAUCGUGGUGGUGCAAGGGCCUUUAAGCUUGACACACUCUUGAAACUCUCUGAUGUUAAAGGAACUGAUGGCAAGACUACCCUCUUGCACUUUGUCAUCCAGGAGAUUAUCCGUUCUGAAGGUAAACGAGCUCUCCGCAGCAUAAAAGCGAGCCAGAGUACUUGUAGUUUAAAGUCAGAGGAUUUGGUUGAGGAUACUAAUCAGUCAUCAGAACACUAUCGUAACCUGGGUCUUAAGGUUAUUUCAGGCUUAAGCAAUGAAUUAGAAGACGUAAAAAAUGCAGCAGCAGUAGAUGCUGACGUCCUAACAUCUACAGUUUCUAAACUCAAACAAUCGCUGACAAAAGCUAAAGCAUUUCUAAAUUCUGAGAUGAAGACUUCAGGUGAAGACAGUGAGUUCCAUGUUGCAUUGGCUACUUUUGUGGAUCAUGCAAGCUCGCAAAUCUCAUGGCUAUCAGAAGAAGAAAAUAGGAUAAUGGCUCGGGUGCAAAGCACAGCAGAUUAUUUUCACGGGAAUGCAGGAAAGAAUGAAGGUUUGCAUUUGUUCACAGUUGUCCGUGAUUUCUUGAUAAUGUUAGAUAAGGCAUGUAAAGAUGUCAGAGAUGACACAGCAACAGAACUGAGGAAAUCUAAGGAGACUCCAGAAGUGUCAGAUUCUCCUGAAAAUCGUCAGCAAUCUGAUAACGGUCGCCAGCAAUUAUUUCCCACUAUCACCGGAAGGCAGAUUGACUAUUCUAGCUCAGAUGAUGAAAGCCCAUCUGCUUAGCUUUACUCUGGAGGGUGGCGUGGAUAUCCUGGAGGCUUCAUAACUCUAUUGUACACUUUACACUGAGAAAAAAGAUUCGCAUACCUCAAUCCUGCCUGUGGCAGCAUACGUGCAUGUCAUUCUUGAAAUUCCUUGAUUUAAAUGAUGCUUAAAAUUUUAGGGAGGUGUUAAAUUUCAGUUAGUACUUUUGUUGAGAAAUCCUUUGUUUUAGGUGUAUUUCUUUUGUUCAAGAUCAUUGGAAGCUGCCCUUUUCGUCUUGAGGUGAGGUAACAUACUUUGCUCUCUCUCUUAUUCUUAGUAUUAAUAAUUAUUAUUUAGGCAGAAUAAAGAAAUUGUGUUUUGGAAGCCCAGCUGACUGUGAACUUUGCAGUUCUACAUGUACACGAACUUGAAGCAAGUUCAGUUUUGUUCGCCAUUUGUGCUGAAUAUAUUCUUAACCAAAGACUUGUGGAUCAUUAAAAUGAGUUUGUUGAGAUUCAAACUCAGAGUUCAUUUCUACAAAGUUGAUGAAACUAAUUAGAGAAGAUCUUCAUGGUGUAUUUGAUCUUCAUGGUGUAUUUGAUCUUCACGUAUAGAGUGUGUAACUCUUCAAUUUGCUACAUUGUUUGAUUCAUUCGCUUUGUGCGGAAUAAUUUAUUUGG
RNA transcript from Manihot esculenta (cassava), 3890 nucleotides. It is a transcript of the gene named formin-like protein 3, with no coding region annotated. The record is from RefSeq and is a predicted model, not a curated record. The transcript is spliced from 8 exons. NCBI's taxonomy places the organism in Eukaryota, Viridiplantae, Streptophyta, Magnoliopsida, Malpighiales, Euphorbiaceae.